UACAGAGGAUGCAAGCGUUAUCCGGAAUGAUUGGGCGUAAAGCGUCUGUAGGUGGCUUUUUAAGUCCGCCGUCAAAUCCCAGGGCUCAACUCUGGACAGGCGGUGGAAACUACCAAGCUGGAGUACGGUAGGGGCAGAGGGAAUUUCCGGUGGAGCGGUGAAAUGCGUAGAGAUCCGGAAGAACACCGGUGGCGAAGGCGGCCCGCUGGGCAACUGCUGACACUGAUGCGCGACAGCGUGGGGAGCAAACAGG
RNAcentral lists this ribosomal RNA (253 nucleotides) under uncultured bacterium. RNAcentral's name for it is "partial 16S ribosomal RNA". It matches the Rfam family "Bacterial small subunit ribosomal RNA", at positions 524 to 776 of the family's 1533-position model. The record is from RNAcentral.